GGCAAUGACCUUUCCAUCAAGUCCAAUACGAGAUGCAUCACAAUAAACUAUAUAAGGCCUUGGAUCUGUGGGAAAAACCAGCACCAGUAUCGUAGUCAAAGCUAUCUUGAGCUUCUGAAAGCUCUUCUCACACUCGUUCGACCACCUGAACUGGGCACCCUUCUGGGUCAACCUAGUCAAUGGGGCUGCGAUAGAUGAAAACCCUUCCACAAACCGACGAUAAUAGCCUACCAAUCCCAAGAAACUCUGAACCUCUAUAGCUGAUACUGGUCUAGGCUAGUUCUUGACUGCCUCAAUCUUCUUCGGAUCAACCUGAAUACCCUUUGCGGAUACAACAUGACCUAGGAAUGCAACUGAACUCAACCAGAACUCACAUUUUGAAAACUUGGCAUACAACUAACUAUCCCUCAAAGUCUGAAGAACUACUCUAAGAUGAUGUUCGUGCUCCUCUUGGCUACGGGAAUAGAUCAAAAUAUCAUUAAUGAAGACUAUCACGAAUGAAUCCAAGUAAGGCCUGAACACUCGGUUCAUCAAAUCCAUAAAAGUUGCUGGGACAUUUGUCAACCCAAAUGACAUCACUAGGAAUUCAUAAUGCCCGUACCGAGUGCGAAAAGCUAUCUUAUCUCAAGUCAAUCUUCGAAAAUAUCUUAGCACCCUGAAGCUGAUCAAACAAAUCAUCAAUCAUCGACAAUGGAUACUUAUUCUUGAUUGUAACCUUGUUCAACUGCCGGUAAUCAAUACAAAUUCUCAUCGAUCCGUCCUUCUUCUUAACAAACAACACCGACACACCCCAAGGCAAAACACUAGGUCUAAUGAAACAUUUCUCAAGCAAGUCUUGCAACUGCUUAUUCAACUCUUUUAACUUAGGCGGGGCCAUAUGAUACGGCAGAAUAGAAAUGGGCUGGGUGCCCAGAGCCAAAUCAAUGCAAAAGUCAAUAUCCCUGUUGGGUGGCAUACCCGGCAGGUCUGAUGGGAAUACCUAAGGAAACUCACGAACAAUGGGCACAGAAUCAAUAGAAAGGGCCUCAGCACUAGAAUCACGAACAUAGGCCAAAUAGGCCAAACACCCCUUCUCGGCCAUACGUCAAGCCUUCAUAUAGGAGAUAACACUACUGGUAGAAUGACCAGGAGUUCUCUCCAUUCUAAACGAGGUAAAACCGGCAAGGCUAAGGUCAUAGUCUUGGCAUGACAGUCCAAGAUAACGUGAUAAGGUGAUAACCAGUCUAUCCCUAAUAUGACAUCGAAAUCAACCAUAUCCAGAAGAAGCAAAUCUACACGAGUCUCAAGACCCCCAAUCCCAACUAUACAAGAACGAUUGACUCGAUCUACCGCAAUAUAAUUACCCACCGGUGUAGAUACAUAAACAGGAGCACUCAAAGAAUCACUAGGCAUGACCAGAUACGGUGCAAAAUAAGAUGACACAUAGGAGUACGUAGAUCCUAGAUUAAAUAAAACUGAAGCAUCUCUGCUACAAACCAGAACAAUACCUAUGAUAACCGCAUCGGAAGCCUCAGCCUCAGGCCUGGCUGGAAGAGAAUAACAUAGGGCUGGGUCCCGCCACCCUGAACUACAUCUUUAGGAUGGCCUACUGCUGGCUGGCCUCCACCUAUAAAGGCCUGAGCUCCACCUCUAAUACCUCUACCUCCACCUCUAGCACCUCUACCUCCACCUCUAAUACCUCUACCUCUACCUCCACCUCUAGCUGACUGAGCGGGUUGAACGAGUCCCUCAAUGAACAUCCCCACUCCCUCUCUCAGUGGAAUUACGGUGAGGCAAUGACAGUGAGGGAAAGGCAAGUAGUCAGAAGCAGGAAGCAUAGGAAAGAGCAGUAAGAGCAAGAGCAGUCCGCAAAGCAGCUGGUUGAAGUAUGGCAAGGGGAANNNNNNNNNNNNNNNNNNNNNNNNNAAUACUUUGAAUGAAUGUUGAAUGGGAACUGGGAUAGGAACUGCUACUGGCGGAUCUUUGCCUAGAACCGAAGCUGACCUUUAGCUAGCCGACCAUGUGCCAGAAGUCUAUACUGGCAUUUCAAUAGGUCAAGCAAGUCCGCUGGCAAGCUUGUAGGCUAUUGGCUUCUUCCUAUAUCCCUGUUCGGGAAAGCUAUUGAUUCCAUUACCGAACCAAAAAAAAUUAUUCCCUUAGUUCUACCUACCACCCUUUCACACUGUUUAAGGGGCAGCAUCUAUUGAGAGUGGAUUUCAGGUGUUUAGAUAUUUCAAGCAUAAGCAGUAGUUGAACCAGCAUAAUGAAAAAGCUAGCAAAAGUAGAAGAAAUUUUCCCAAAAACAAUGAUUGAUUUUAUCGUC
RNAcentral lists this long non-coding RNA (2302 nucleotides) under Nicotiana tabacum (common tobacco). RNAcentral's name for it is "long non-coding RNA (NTAB_LNC000298)". Lineage: Eukaryota; Viridiplantae; Streptophyta; Magnoliopsida; Solanales; Solanaceae. The record is from RNAcentral.